AAAAACACCCUCCCAACGCUCAUUAAAUGAAGAAAACGAGCGAAGCCGUCGUCUCGUUCGACUAGCCGCACCGGUGCGUGCUCCAAAGCCAAUCGACGAGUCCGCGCCCCCGUUGUAUGAUCCGUUCCCGUUCGUCGUCGGCGACGCGGAUCCGAUGCGCGCAGAUGAUUUUCGCUUCCUGCGCGGCAAAUCUCGCGCCAAAUCCCCCUCGAAGCGCCACUGAAAUAUCCCCCAAAUCCCCGUCGACUAACCCUAGCUGCAGGAAGAGAAGCUAGCGGCAGCUGCGGCGGUGGCCACACCAUGCAGCAGGACCAGAAGCUGUCGUCGGCGGCGGCGCGGGAGCUGCUUAAGGCAGAGGCGCAAGGGGAGCGGAGGGCCAAGGUGGCGUUGCAGAAGCGAAAGGCCACGGGGGAAGCUGCGGCGGCGACACCGGAGCAGAAGCGGAAGGCCACGGGGGAGCUGCGGCGGCGCCGAAGCAGAUGAGUUCCGGCCGCGCCGGCCAUGCGCUGGAGCAGAACGAAGCAAGCGCAUCUUCAGCAUGUACUCCUCCGAUUUCAUUGGCUGACAGAAAUUGCUUCUUCAAUGGUGCCAGCUGCUUGUUCGGCAGCAGCCCUUUGUCUCAACCAUGGAUGCUAUCUUCAGAUCCUGCAACAUGUUGAUGUGUUGCUCUCGAGAAGAUGGUGUGAAGUCUAGAAUUCAAGUGUGAAAGGAAGAAGCUGUGCAUGUCAAUCAAGGCUGAAAAACAAGUCUGAAAGUGCCUCAUCAAUAUAUAUGUUGCGGUUAUUGUGAUGCAUUUUGAACCAAUGGCUAUUGAUGUGCCAUCUGAUAUGAUAGAUUUUCAUGUUGUGUGAACUGAAUUGAUCUAUUUUAAUGUUGUGUGAACUGAAUUGAUAUAUUAUACAUGCUUAUUUUAAGAGUCAUACAAAUUAUUUGAAUAUAUUAUGCAUUCUCUCA
This is a long non-coding RNA of Panicum virgatum (switchgrass), 954 nucleotides long. RefSeq lists it as uncharacterized. The transcript has 2 exons. Lineage: Eukaryota; Viridiplantae; Streptophyta; Magnoliopsida; Poales; Poaceae. The record is from RefSeq and is a predicted model, not a curated record.